This 310-nucleotide ribosomal RNA is filed under the name uncultured bacterium. Its description in RNAcentral is "bacterial SSU rRNA". It matches the Rfam family "Bacterial small subunit ribosomal RNA", at positions 28 to 337 of the family's 1533-position model. The record is from RNAcentral.
GACGAACGCUGGCGGCGUGCUUAACACAUGCAAGUCGAGCGGUAAGGCCCUUUCGGGGGUACACGAGCGGCGAACGGGUGAGUAACACGUGGGUGACCUGCCCUCAGCUCUGGGAUAAGCCUGGGAAACCGGGUCUAAUACUGGAUAUGACUCCAUGACGCAUGUUGUGGGGUGGAAAGCCUUGUGCGGCUGAGGAUGGGCCCGCGGCCUAUCAGCUUGGUUGGUGGGGUGAGGCCUACCAAGGCGACGACGGGUAGCCGGCCUGAGAGGGGCGACCCGGCCACACUGGGACUGAGACACGGCCCAGACU